AGCGAACGUUAGCGGCGGGCCUAACACAUGCAAGUCGAACGCGAAAGGUCUUCGGACUGAGUAGAGUGGCGCACGGGUGAGUAACACGUAGGUAAUCUACCCUUUGGCGGGGGAUAACGUUCCGAAAGAGCGCUAAUACGCAUAAGACCACGGAGUCUCCGGACGCUGUGGGAAAAGGUGGCCUCUUCUUGAAAGCUACCACCGAAGGAUGAGCCUGCGUCCCAUCAGCUAGUUGGUAAGGUAAUGGCUUACCAAGGCGAAGACGGGUAGCUGGUUUGAGAGAAUGAUCAGCCANACUGGCACUGGAACACGGGCCAGACUCCUACGGGAGCCAGCAGUGAGGGAAUAUUGGGC
This 354-nucleotide ribosomal RNA is filed under the name uncultured bacterium. RNAcentral describes it as "bacterial SSU rRNA". It matches the Rfam family "Bacterial small subunit ribosomal RNA", at positions 29 to 369 of the family's 1533-position model. The record is from RNAcentral.